CAAAAAAGAUGGAGAAAUUAAGAGGGCCAGUUAUGAGAGCUCAAAAAUGGUAUAUGUAAGAUAAGAGUGUAGAUAAUGUCCCCACGUACUCAAUCAAUGAAACCCUAGCUUGAAGUUUUCAGUCUGAGCCAGAGACAUGGAAAUUCCAGAAUCUCUUAGAUUCAAUGGACACGUGGUGGCCAUGCCAUUCCCAAGUCGAGGACACGUGAACUGCAUGAUGAACCUCUGCAAACUACUCGCGGCAGCAUCUUCAUCUUCUCCCUUCAUCAUCACCAUUCUUGUCACCGAAGAGUGGCUCGGCUUCAUCGGCUCCGAGCCGAAGCCGAGCAACGUUCGCUUCGCCACCAUCCCCAACGUUAUCCCUUUCCAAUCUUAGAUAGCCUCCGAUAUCCCCGCUUUCUUCAAAGCCGUCGUCACCAACAUGGAACCUCCCUUCGACCACCUCCUCCGCCGCCUUCACCCUCCCGUCACCGCCCUCGUCGCCGACGUCGAGCUUCACUUCCCUGUCGCCGUCGCCCGCCGCAGUAAUAUUCCGGUCGCGCUGCUUUGGACCAUGUCGGCUUCCUUUUACCUCACGUUGCAUCAACUAGGAAGCUUGGUUCGUAACCACUCUUUGAAGGUUGAUGUUUUAGAUGAUUAUGAAGAGCAUAUACCAGGAAUUUCUGCAGCACAAUUAGCUGAUCUUCGAACGGUGCUUCGUGAAAAUGACUUGAGGUUUUUGCAGCUUGAGUUGGAAUGCAUUUCAGUAGUGCCAAAAGCAGAUUGUCUUAUAGUUAAUACUGUUCAAGAGUUGGAAGCUGAAGUAAUUGAUUCUUUGAGAGCCAUGUUCCACUUUCCAAUUUGUCCCAUUGCCUUUCCUUACUUCAAACACGAAACAUGUCAUUUUGUGACCAACGACAGUGAUUACAACGUUGACUACUUAAAUUGGCUAGAUCAUCAGCCAUCCAUGUCUGUAUUGUACAUUUCUCUCGGUAGUUUCCUUUCUGUGUCAUGUGCCCAAAUGAAUUAAAUUGUUUCAGCUUUGAACACGAGUGGUGUUUGUUACUUGUGGGUGGUUCGUGGAGAAGUUUCAUGGUUAAAAGAGAAAUGUGGGGAUAGGGGUUUAGUGGUGCCUUGGUGCGACCAAUUGAAGGUUUUGUCACAUCCUUCUGUAGGUGGGUUUUGGAGCCACUGUGGGUGGAAUUCAACUCUAGAAGCUGUUUUUGGUGGUAUUCCAAUGCUGACAUUCCCUCUUUUCUUAGACCAAGUUCCAAAUAGUAGGCAAAUUUUGGAAGAGUGGAAGAAUGGGUGGGAGCUUAAAAGAUCAGAUUUGGGAAGUGCAGAAUUGAUAACAAAAGAUGAAAUAGUGCAAGUGAUUAGAGAGUUUAUGGAUCUUGGAAAGCGAAAAGAAAUUCGAGACAGGGCACUAGAAUUUAAGGGCAUUUGUGACCGAGCAGUUGCAGAAGGUGGAUCCUCCAAUGUGAACCUUGAUGCAUUUAUAAAAGAUGUUUUGUGUGUUCAAGGUCAUUGAGAGGCAGGGGAUAUGUGAUGGACAAAAUAGGCAAAUAAAAGAUGUGAUAUGUGUGAUGUACAUUUUACUUGGUUGAGCUUAAAAUAGGCAGAUAAAACUAGAAAGGAGAAAAAUUGGAAACAAAAUUAUCUUGCUCUUAUUUGAUUUUUGGUUCAUGUGAGGGUGAAGGAUAAAGAUAAUGAAAUUCAUCUGUACUUCACCAUUGGUACUUUGAUCCAUACAUAUAAAUUAUGGAACUAUUCCCUUAACUGUGACAGGAUCUUAGGCAUAUCAGCUUUUGAGCUUACACCAGCUGCAACCUGAGGUUGGUGAGCCUGGAAUAGAUUGUCCCAUUUUGAAGAUGCAAUCAGCAAGAGUAACAAUCAGGAGUUAUAAGGUUGGUUUCGUGGGGUUUAAGAGUUGAAGGGAGAGGGGGAGAUAUCGUGAGAUUGAAUCCCCCAUUACCAUUCUAACUAACUAAUAAUUAACAUUUUAUUUAGCAUCUUUUGUUUUGCCCUUCUAAUUGCAAAACAUUUUAAUCACUUGAUAUUUGUACCGAAAGCAGCAAAUAAAAAUAUGCUUAGUUGUACUGA
Molecule: RNA transcript, 2082 nt
Organism: Glycine soja
Lineage: Eukaryota; Viridiplantae; Streptophyta; Magnoliopsida; Fabales; Fabaceae
Gene name: UDP-glycosyltransferase 87A1-like
Exons: 2
Source: RefSeq, a predicted model, not a curated record